CCUACGGGAGGCUGCAGUGGGGAAUAUUGCACAAUGGGGGAAACCCUGAUGCAGCGACGCCGCGUGAGUGAAGAAGUACUUCGUUACGUAAAGCUCUAUCAGCAGGGACGAAACUGACGGUACCUGAGUAAGAAGCCCCGUCUAACUACGUGCCAGCAGCCGCGGUAAUACGUAGGGGGCAAGCGUUAUCCGGAUUUACUGGGUGGAAAGGGAGCGUAGUCGGUGCGCGAAGUCUGGAGUGAAAUGCCGCAGCUUAACUGCGGAAAUGGUUUGGAAACUGGCGAACUAGAGUGCGGGAGGGGUAAGCGGAAUGCCUAGUGUAGCGGGGAAAUGCGUAGAUAUCACGCAGAACUCCGAUUGCGAAGGCAGCAUACCGGCGCUCAACUGACGCUCAUGCACGAAAGUGUGGGUAUCGAACAGGAUUAGAUACCCUAGUAGUC
RNAcentral lists this ribosomal RNA (440 nucleotides) under uncultured bacterium. RNAcentral describes it as "partial 16S ribosomal RNA". It matches the Rfam family "Bacterial small subunit ribosomal RNA", at positions 338 to 795 of the family's 1533-position model. The record is from RNAcentral.